GGUGAGUAACGCGUAGGUAACCUGCCUGGUAGCGGGGGAUAACUAUUGGAAACGAUAGCUAAUACCGCAUGACAACAGUUAUUGCAUGAUAGCUGUUUAAAAGGGGCAACUGCUCUACUACCAGAUGGACCUGCGUUGUAUUAGCUAGUUGGUGAGGUAACGGCUCACCAAGGCGACGAUACAUAGCCGACCUGAGAGGGUGAUCGGCCACACUGGGACUGAGACACGGCCCAG
This 234-nucleotide ribosomal RNA is filed under the name uncultured Streptococcaceae bacterium. RNAcentral describes it as "partial 16S ribosomal RNA". It matches the Rfam family "Bacterial small subunit ribosomal RNA", at positions 105 to 334 of the family's 1533-position model. Lineage: Bacteria; Bacillati; Bacillota; Bacilli; Lactobacillales; Streptococcaceae. The record is from RNAcentral.